RNAcentral lists this long non-coding RNA (705 nucleotides) under Zostera marina. Its description in RNAcentral is "long non-coding RNA (ZMAR_LNC002186)". The record is from RNAcentral. Lineage: Eukaryota; Viridiplantae; Streptophyta; Magnoliopsida; Alismatales; Zosteraceae.
AAAAGCUGUGAAAAAAAGCGUUUGGCAAAGCGGUCCAAAAAAACCGCUUUGCCGCUAUUUUCGCUUAAAGCGACGCUUAAGCGUCGCUUUUUGAACUAUGAUUGGAGCACCUUUGAACAUGUGAGUUUUUUAUUAUUUAGUUACUCAUAAAGAGUCACGCUAAAUCUAUUUUUUUAUGUUUGUAAAUCCAAUCAAAAAGAAGAGCCUGAAUAGACGCACCUCGUGUAAAUGAUCUUGUUUAUAUAAACUACAAGAAGAGAUUAUACGAGCGAUAUCAAGACUUGAAAGCCAAAGCUGCUAAUGGAACUCCAUUUGAUCUCAUUGAAGUAGACACAUUGAAUAUUUGAAUUAUCAUAGUGAAUGGAUGUAAGGUGUAGAGGGACCCCCUCCAACGAGUUCGUUUAUAGAGAAGAGGGAUUAACAUGGGCAACGGUGGCAAGGGUUGUUGGAUUGGAUGAGCUUGUAGGUCGUGUAACAAGGAGUCAAACACGACAAACAGAUGAUGUAGAGGAUUUGACAAGGAAUAUUGAGGAUCUAUUACCAACUGAAUCCGAUGAUAAUAUGACACAAUCCUAGAAUAGCAAAUUUAAAUCUUUGGGCUUCAUUUCAUAUAUUUAAAUAUUAGCUACUUUGAUACAUUCAUAUAUAUUUAAUUAUUAGCUACUUUUAAUUUUGAAGAUACCCUUUUACAGGUAUUUACCUUUA